RNAcentral lists this ribosomal RNA (358 nucleotides) under uncultured Pseudomonas sp. Its description in RNAcentral is "bacterial SSU rRNA". It matches the Rfam family "Bacterial small subunit ribosomal RNA", at positions 1024 to 1382 of the family's 1533-position model. Lineage: Bacteria; Pseudomonadati; Pseudomonadota; Gammaproteobacteria; Pseudomonadales; Pseudomonadaceae. The record is from RNAcentral.
AGACGGUAUGACAGGUGCUGCAUGGCUGUCGUCAGCUCGUGCCGUGAGGUGUUGGGUUAAGUCCGCAACGAGCGCAACCCCUAUCUUUACGUUGCCAUCAGUUCGGCUGGGCACUCUAGUGGAGACUGCCACCUAAAGUGGAGGAAGGUGGGGAUGACGUCAAGUCAGCAUGGCCCUUACGGCCUGGGCUACACACGUGCUACAAUGGUCGGUACAAAGGGUUGCCAAGCCGCGAGGUGGAGCUAAUCCCAUAAAACCGAUCGUAGUCCGGAUCGCAGUCUGCAACUCGACUGCGUGAAGUCGGAAUCGCUAGUAAUCGUGAAAUCAGAAUGUCACGGUGAAUACGUUCCCGGGCCUU